RNAcentral lists this ribosomal RNA (385 nucleotides) under uncultured bacterium. RNAcentral describes it as "bacterial SSU rRNA". It matches the Rfam family "Bacterial small subunit ribosomal RNA", at positions 133 to 507 of the family's 1533-position model. The record is from RNAcentral.
CGAGAUGGGGAUAGCUACUAGAAAUAGUAGAUAAUACCGAAUACGACCGUAGUUGUUAGAGGACUACGAGGAAAGGAGCUAAGGCUCCGCUGAAAGAUUGGCCCGCGGCCCAUUAGCUAGUUGGUAGGGUAAGGCCUACCAAGGCAAUGAUGGGUAUCCGGCCUGAGAGGGUGAUCGGACACAUUGGGACUGAGAUACGGCCCAGACUCCUACGGGAGGCAGCAGCUAAGAAUAUUCCGCAAUGGGGGAAACCCUGACGGAGCGACGCCGCGUGGAUGAUGAAGGCCGGAAGGUUGUAAAGUCCUUUUGGGCGCAAAGAAUAAGUACGCGAGGAAAUGCGCGUGCGGUGACGGUAGCGCCUGAAUAAGCAACGGCUAAUUACGUG